RNAcentral lists this ribosomal RNA (430 nucleotides) under Pseudomonadota bacterium. RNAcentral's name for it is "Proteobacteria bacterium partial 16S ribosomal RNA". It matches the Rfam family "Bacterial small subunit ribosomal RNA", at positions 355 to 776 of the family's 1533-position model. Lineage: Bacteria; Pseudomonadati; Pseudomonadota. The record is from RNAcentral.
UGGGGAAUAUUGGACAAUGGGGGGAACCCUGAUCCAGCCAUGCCGCGUGUGUGAAGAAGGCCUUAUGGUUGUAAAGCACUUUAAGCGAGGAGGAGGGUACUGGUAUUAAUACUACCAGGUACUGGACGUUACUCGCAGAAUAAGCACCGGCUAACUCUGUGCUAGCAGCCGCGGUAAUACAGAGGGUGCAAGCGUUAAUCGGAAUUACUGGGCGUAAAGCGCGCGUAGGUGGUUCGUUAAGUUGAAUGUGAAAGCCCCGGGCUCCACCUGGGAACUGCAUCCAAAACUGGCGAGCUAGAGUAGGGCAGAGGGUGGUGGAAUUUCCUGUGUAGCGGUGAAAUGCGUAGAUAUAGGAAGGAACACCAGUGGCGAAGGCGACCACCUGGGCUCAUACUGACACUGAGGUGCGAAAGCGUGGGGAGCAAACAGG